This is a long non-coding RNA of Cloeon dipterum, 777 nucleotides long. RefSeq lists it as uncharacterized. NCBI's taxonomy places the organism in Eukaryota, Metazoa, Arthropoda, Insecta, Ephemeroptera, Baetidae. The record is from RefSeq and is a predicted model, not a curated record. The transcript is spliced from 3 exons.
AAGUAGCGGCGUCGAGGAUGAUCUACAUGUUGAAUGAUAUGGCCAAUUCGCCAGAUUUGACCAAAAUGUUGUCAGAAGACGUUCAGCGCGCUCCUACAGAGUCCGAAUGCACAUACUCGCUAAACGUUUUGUCGAAAGCAGCCUGGCCAGAAUCUGAAAAUAAAUGUACCCCCAAGAUGAAGUUGUCAAAUUUGCUGGAUAUAAACAUGGAAGAAUUCAUCUCGGAGCUCUACAAAUCAAGCAAAGAUGACUACAAAUACCGAGAUCUUCAGUGGUGUCCUCAUUUCAGCCAAUGUAUUAUUUUCACUUAUAUUAUUUAUCAAGCCAAUAAAAGCGAAUGAAUCUCCAACAGGCGUCGUGAAAACCAGUUUCGUCAACAAGGAGUAUUCGCUUAAAAUGAACGUUGUCCAAACGGAAAUUUUGAUACUCUUUUUUGAAAAAGACACGCUGAACUUUGCUGAUGUUAAAAAUAGCACGGAAAUUCCCAGCAAGGAACUGAGUAUGUACAUCACCAGUUUGGUGAAUGCCAAGCUCCUCAUCUCGGAUACCAAGAUUAUUGGACCAGAAAGCAAGCUCACGUUGAACCGUGAUUUCAGCAGCCAGGAGAAUCCCGUUGUGAUUGAAGACCCGUGUAUUUUUGGCGACGAGGAAAUCGAUCAUAAGGUGGACCUAAAGUCAGAGCUCCGCUUGCGCCUUAUAUCUUCGAGGAUUGAGCGAUAUUUAAAAAAAGAGAAAGACUCUGCUAUGACCCUCGAAUACAUCAUCGAAUGGGUUUGA